This 3565-nucleotide long non-coding RNA is filed under the name Citrus maxima (pomelo). Its description in RNAcentral is "long non-coding RNA (CMAX_LNC001232)". The record is from RNAcentral. Lineage: Eukaryota; Viridiplantae; Streptophyta; Magnoliopsida; Sapindales; Rutaceae.
UGACGGAGUACAACGAACGGUCAAAGAGCGCGUUGAAGUUUGAGAGCGUGGAGAAGGGCGAGACUCAGGUGGUUUCCGGCACCAAUUACCGGCUGAUCUUGGUCGUCAAGGACGGUCCUUCGAUCAAGAAAUUUGAAGCUGUCGUUUGAGAGAAGCCAUGGGAGCAUUUCAAGAGUCUCACCUCGUUUAAGCCUAUGUUUGGGGGAUGGACUCCGAUAGACCCCACGGAGAAGCACGUGAUGGAGAUCGGGCAGUUCGCGGUGACGGAGUACAACAAACGGUCAAAGAGCGCGUUGAAGUUCGAGAGGGUGGAGAAGGCCGAGACUCAGGUGGUUUCCGGCACCAAUUACCGGCUGAUCUUGGUCGUCAAGGACGGACCUUCGACCAAGAAAUUUGUAGCUGUCGUUUGGGAGAAGCCAUGGGAGCAUUUCAAGAGUCUCACCUCGUUUAAGCCUAUGUUUGGGGGAUGGACUCCGAUAGACCCCACGGAGAAGCACGUGAUGGAGAUCGGGCAGUUCGCGGUGACAGAGUAAUACAAACGGUCAAAGAGCGCGUUGAAGUUCGAGAGCGUGGAGAAGGCCUGGACUCAGGUGCUUUCCGGCACCAAUUACCGGCUGAUCUUGGUCGUCAAGGACGGACCUUCGACCAAGAAAUUUGAAGCUGUCGUUUGGGAGAAGCCAUGGGAGCAUUUCAAGAGUCUCACCUCGUUUAAGCCUAUGUUUGGGGGAUGGACUCCGAUAGACCCCACGGAGAAGCACGUGAUGGAGAUCGGGCAGUUCGCGGUGACAGAGUACAACAAACGGUCAAAGAGCGCGUUGAAGUUCGAGAGCGUGGAGAAGGCCUGGACUCAGGUCGUUUCCGGCACCAAUUACCGGCUGAUCUUGGUCGUCAAGGACGGACCUUCGACCAAGAAAUUUGUAGCUGUCGUUUGGGAGAAGCCAUGGGAGCAUUUCAAGAGUCUCACCUCGUUUAAGCCUAUGUUUGGGGGAUGGACUCCGAUAGACCCCACGGAGAAGCACGUGAUGGAGAUCGGGCAGUUCGCGGUGACAGAGUAAUACAAACGGUCAAAGAGCGCGUUGAAGUUCGAGAGCGUGGAGAAGGCCUGGACUCAGGUGCUUUCCGGCACCAAUUACCGGCUGAUCUUGGUCGUCAAGGACGGACCUUCGACCAAGAAAUUGUUAGCUGUCGUUUGGGAGAAGCCAUGGGAGCAUUUCAAGAGUCUCACCUCGUUUAAGCCUAUGCUUGGCGGAUGGACUCCGAUAGACCCCACGGAGAAGCACGUGAUGGAGAUCGGGCAGUUCGCGGUGACAGAGUACAUCAAACGGUCAAAGAGCGCGUUGAAGUUCGAGAGCGUGGAGAAGGCCUGGACUCAGGUGGUUUCCGGCACCAAUUACCGGCUGAUCUUGGUCGUCAAGGACGGACCUUCGACCAAGAAAUUUGAAGUUGUCGUUUGGGAGAAGCCAUGGGAGCAUUUCAAGAGUCUCACCUCGUUUAAGCCUAUGCUUGGGGAUGGACUCCGAUAGACCCCACGGAGAAGCACGUGAUGGAGAUCGGGCAGUUCGAGGUGACGGAGUGCAAUAAACGGUCAAAGAGCGCGUUGAAGUUCGAGAGCGUGGAGAAGGCCUGGACUCAGGUGGUUUCCGGCACCAAUUACCGGCUGAUCUUGGUCGUCAAGGACGGACCUUCGACCAAGAAAUUUGAAGCUGUCGUUUGGGAGAAGCCAUGGGAGCAUUUCAAGAGUCUCACCUCGUUUAAGCCUAUGUUUGGGGGAUGGACUCCGAUAGACCCCACGGAGAAGCACGUGAUGGAGAUCGGGCAGCUCGCGGUGACGGAGUACAACAAACGGUCAAAGAGCGCGUUGAAGUUCGAGAGCGUUUAGAAGGCCGAGACUCAAGUGGUUUCCGGCACCAAUUACCGGCUGAUCUUGGUCGUCAAGGACGGACCUUCGACCAAGAAAUUUGUAGCUGUCGUUUGGGAGAAGCCAUGGGAGCAUUUCAAGAGUCUCACCUCGUUUAAGCCUAUGUUUGGGGGAUGGACUCCGAUAGACCCCACGGAGAAGCACGUGAUGGAGAUCGGGCAGUUCGCGGUAACAGAGUACAACAAACGGUCAAAGAGCGCGUUGAAGUUCGAGAGCGUGGAGAAGGCCUGGACUCAGGUCGUUUCCGGCACCAAUUACCGGCUGGUCUUGGUCGUCAAGGACGGACCUUCGACCAAGAAAUUGUUAGCUGUCGUUUGGGAGAAGCCAUGGGAGCAUUUCAAGAGUCUCACCUCGUUUAAGCCUAUGCUUGGGGGAUGGAAUCCGAUAGACCCCACGGAGAAGCACGUGAUGGAGAUCGGGCAGUUCGCUGUGACAGAGUACAACAAACGGUCAAAGAGCGCGUUGAAGUUCGAGAGCGUGGAGACGGCCUGGACUCAGGUGGUUUCCGGCACCAAUUACCGGCUGAUCUUGGUCGUCAAGGACGGACCUUCGACCAAGAAAUUUGUAGCUGUCAUUUGGGAGUAGCCAUGGGAGCAUUUCAAGAGUCUCACCUCGUUUAAGCCUAUGCUUGGGGGAUGGACUCCGAUAGACCCCACGGAGAAGCACGUGAUGGAGAUCGGGCAGUUCGCGGUGACAGAGUACAACAAACGGUCAAAGAGCGCGUUGAAGUUCGAGAGCGUUGAGAAGGCUUGGACUCAGGUGGUUUCCGGCACCAAUUACCGGCUGAUCUUGGUCGUCAAGGACGGACCUUCGACCAAGAAAUUUGAAGCUGUCGUUUGAGAGAUGCCAUGGGAGCAUUUCAAGAGUCUCACCUCGUUUAAGCCUAUGCUUGGGGGAUGGACUCCGAUAGAGCCCACGGAGAAGCACGUGAUGGAGAUCGGGCAGUUCGCGGUGACAGAGUACAAUAAACGGUCAAAGAGCGCGUUGAAGUUCGAGAGCGUUGAGAAGGCUUGGACUCAGGUGGUUUCCGGCACCAAUUACCGGCUGAUCUUGGUCGUCAAGGACGGACCUUCGACCAAGAAAUUUGUAGCUGUCGUUUGGGAGUAGCCAUGGGAGCAUUUCAAGAGUCUCACCUCGUUUAAGCCUAUGCUUGGGGGAUGGACUCCGAUAGACCCCACGGAGAAGCACGUGAUGGAGAUCGGGCAGUUCGCGGUGACGGAGUACAACAAACGGUCAAAGAGCGCGUUGAAGUUCGAGAGCGUGGAGAAGGCCUGGACUCAGGUGCUUUCCGGCACCAAUUACCGGCUGAUCUUGGUCGUCAAGGACGGACCUUCGACCAAGAAAUUUGAAGCUAUCGUUUGGGAGAAGCCAUGGGAGCAUUUCAAGAGUCUCACCUCGUUUAAGCCUAUGGUUAAAUAGGGUGUUUAACAAAUAACAAAUGCAUGUAAUUGUUAAAUAAAGGAUAGGUAUACUAUUACCUAUCAAUCAUGGCAAUGUCUUAGUCUGUUUUAGUUCAACUUAUAAGAUUUCUUGAGAUGUACAAGAGAUCUUUUUGUUUACUUUUGAGCCAAGUAUUUUCCUGAAAAAGGAAAUAAAUCAAUAAAAAUUAUUGUGUGUCAACAUAUUGGUUAUAUUAGUCUAUACACG